GGCUGGUCUGAGCGCACGGUGUUUACAAAUAAUUGAUCACAACCAGUUACAGAUUCCUUUGUUCUUCCUCCACUCCCACUGCUUCACUUGACUAGUCUAAA
RNAcentral lists this Y RNA (101 nucleotides) under Propithecus coquereli (Coquerel's sifaka). RNAcentral's name for it is "Y RNA (ENSPCOG00000011369.1)". It matches the Rfam family "Y RNA". Rfam says of the family: Y RNAs are components of the Ro ribonucleoprotein particle (Ro RNP), in association with Ro60 and La proteins. The Y RNAs and Ro60 and La proteins are well conserved, but the function of the Ro RNP is not known. Lineage: Eukaryota; Metazoa; Chordata; Mammalia; Primates; Indriidae. The record is from Rfam by way of RNAcentral.